GACGAACGCUGGCGGCGUGCUUAACACAUGCAAGUCGAGCGGUAAGGCCUUUCGGGGUACACGAGCGGCGAACGGGUGAGUAACACGUGGGUGAUCUGCCCUGCACUUCGGGAUAAGCCUGGGAAACUGGGUCUAAUACCGGAUAUGACCUCCUAUCGCAUGGUGGGUGGUGGAAAGAUUUAUCGGUGCAGGAUGGGCCCGCGGCCUAUCAGCUUGUUGGUGGGGUAAUGGCCUACCAAGGCGACGACGGGUAGCCGACCUGAGAGGGUGACCGGCCACACUGGGACUGAGACACGGCCCAGACUCCUACGGGAGGCAGCAGUGGGGAAUAUUGCACAAUGGGCGAAGGCCUGAUGCAGCGACGCCGCGUGGGGGAUGACGGCCUUCGGGUUGUAAACCUCUUUCAGCAGGGACGAAGCGCAGGUGACGGUACCUGCAGAAGAAGCACCGGCUAACUACG
RNAcentral lists this ribosomal RNA (460 nucleotides) under uncultured bacterium. RNAcentral describes it as "partial 16S ribosomal RNA". It matches the Rfam family "Bacterial small subunit ribosomal RNA", at positions 28 to 505 of the family's 1533-position model. The record is from RNAcentral.